Molecule: unclassified non-coding RNA, 334 nt
Filed under: soil metagenome
Description: partial contains 5.8S ribosomal RNA, internal transcribed spacer 2, and large subunit ribosomal RNA
Rfam family: 5.8S ribosomal RNA (bases 1-120)
Source: RNAcentral
GAUGAAGAACGUAUCGAAAUGCGAUAAGUAAUGUGAAUUGCAGAAUUCAGUGAAUCAUCGAAUCUUUGAACGCACAUUGCGCCCAUUAGUAUUCUAGUGGGCAUGCCUGUUCGAGCGUCAUUUCAACCCUUAAGCCUAGCUUAGUAUUGGGAAUCGACUUUACUGUCGUUCCUCAAAUUCAACGGCGGAUUUAUAGCAAUCUCUGAACGUAGUAAUUUUUUUUCUCGUUUUUGAAAUACUAUAAACCUCAGCCGCUAAACCCCCAAUUUCUUAUGGUUGACCUCGGAUCAGGUAGGAAUACCCGCUGAACUUAAGCAUAUCAAUAAGCGGAGGA